GUUUAUUGAUGACUAUCCAUGCUAAUACUGAGACGUCAGGAGUAAGAAUUCUUCUGGAUGUAAAUGACUAGUUUUACUAGAACUGAAAGCA
This is a non-coding RNA of Xenopus tropicalis (tropical clawed frog), 91 nucleotides long. The record is from Rfam. NCBI's taxonomy places the organism in Eukaryota, Metazoa, Chordata, Amphibia, Anura, Pipidae.